AUUGAACGCUGGCGGAAUGCUUUACACAUGCAAGUCGAGCGGCAGCACUGACUUCGGUCUGGUGGCGAGUGGCGAACGGGUGAGUAACAUAUCGGAACGUAUCCAAUAAUGGGGGAUAACUAAUCGAAAGGUUGGCUAAUACCGCAUACGCCCUACGGGGGAAAGCAGGGGAUCUUCGGACCUUGCGUUAAUGGAGCGGCUGAUAUCUGAUUAGCUAGUUGGUGAGGUAAAGGCUCACCAAGGCGACGAUCAGUAGCUGGUCUGAGAGGACGACCAGCCACCCUGGAACUGAGACACGGUCCAGACUCCUACGGGAGGCAGCAGUGGGGAAUUUUGGACAAUGGGCGCAAGCCUGAUCCAGCCAUUCCGCGUGAGUGAAGAAGGCCUUCGGGUUGUAAAGCUCUUUCGCAAGGGAAGAAAACUUACUUUCUAAUAAAGAGUGAGGUUGACGGUACCUUGAUAAGAAGCACCGGCUAACUACGUGCCAGCCGCCGCCGUAA
RNAcentral lists this ribosomal RNA (500 nucleotides) under uncultured bacterium. Its description in RNAcentral is "partial 16S ribosomal RNA". It matches the Rfam family "Bacterial small subunit ribosomal RNA", at positions 30 to 523 of the family's 1533-position model. The record is from RNAcentral.